This 1529-nucleotide ribosomal RNA is filed under the name Brevibacterium casei. RNAcentral describes it as "bacterial SSU rRNA". It matches the Rfam family "Bacterial small subunit ribosomal RNA". Lineage: Bacteria; Bacillati; Actinomycetota; Actinomycetes; Micrococcales; Brevibacteriaceae. The record is from RNAcentral.
UUUAUGGAGAGUUUGAUCCUGGCUCAGGACGAACGCUGGCUGCGUGCUUAACACAUGCAAGUCGAACGCUGAAGCCUGGUGCUUGCACCGGGUGGAUGAGUGGCGAACGGGUGAGUAACACGUGAGUAACCUGCCCCUGACUUCGGGAUAAGCCCGGGAAACUGGGUCUAAUACCGGAUACGACUGCCGGACGCAUGUCUGGUGGUGGAAAGUUUUUUCGGUUGGGGAUGGGCUCGCGGCCUAUCAGUUUGUUGGUGAGGUAAUGGCUCACCAAGACGACGACGGGUAGCCGGCCUGAGAGGGCGACCGGCCACACUGGGACUGAGACACGGCCCAGACUCCUACGGGAGGCAGCAGUGGGGAAUAUUGCACAAUGGGGGAAACCCUGAUGCAGCGACGCAGCGUGCGGGAUGACGGCCUUCGGGUUGUAAACCGCUUUCAGCAGGGAAGAAGCGCAAGUGACGGUACCUGCAGAAGAAGUACCGGCUAACUACGUGCCAGCAGCCGCGGUAAUACGUAGGGUACGAGCGUUGUCCGGAAUUAUUGGGCGUAAAGAGCUCGUAGGUGGUUGGUCACGUCUGCUGUGGAAACGCAACGCUUAACGUUGCGCGUGCAGUGGGUACGGGCUGACUAGAGUGCAGUAGGGGAGUCUGGAAUUCCUGGUGUAGCGGUGAAAUGCGCAGAUAUCAGGAGGAACACCGGUGGCGAAGGCGGGACUCUGGGCUGUAACUGACACUGAGGAGCGAAAGCAUGGGGAGCGAACAGGAUUAGAUACCCUGGUAGUCCAUGCCGUAAACGUUGGGCACUAGGUGUGGGGGGCAUUCCACGUUCUCCGCGCCGUAGCUAACGCAUUAAGUGCCCCGCCUGGGGAGUACGGUCGCAAGGCUAAAACUCAAAGGAAUUGACGGGGGCCCGCACAAGCGGCGGAGCAUGCGGAUUAAUUCGAUGCAACGCGAAGAACCUUACCAAGGCUUGACAUACACCGGACCGUCCUGGAAACAGGUCUUCUUCUUUGAAGCUGGUGUACAGGUGGUGCAUGGUUGUCGUCAGCUCGUGUCGUGAGAUGUUGGGUUAAGUCCCGCAACGAGCGCAACCCUCGUUCUAUGUUGCCAGCACGUGAUGGUGGGAACUCAUAGGAGACUGCCGGGGUCAACUCGGAGGAAGGUGGGGAUGACGUCAAAUCAUCAUGCCCUUUAUGUCUUGGGCUUCACGCAUGCUACAAUGGCUGGUACAGAGAGAGGCGAACCCGUGAGGGCAAGCGAAUCCCUUAAAGCCAGUCUCAGUUCGGAUCGUAGUCUGCAAUUCGACUACGUGAAGUCGGAGUCGCUAGUAAUCGCAGAUCAGCAACGCUGCGGUGAAUACGUUCCCGGGCCUUGUACACACCGCCCGUCAAGUCACGAAAGUCGGUAACACCCGAAGCCGGUGGCCUAACCCCUUGUGGGAGGGGGCCGUCUAAGGUGGGACUGGUGAUUGGGACUAAGUCGUAACAAGGUAGCCGUACCGGAAGGUGCGGCUGGAUCACCUCCUUU